GACGAACGCUGGCGGCGUGCCUAAUACAUGCAAGUCGAACGCUGAAGAGAGGAGCUUGCUCUUCUUGGAUGAGUUGCGAACGGGUGAGUAACGCGUAGGUAACCUGCCUUGUAGCGGGGGAUAACUAUUGGAAACGAUAGCUAAUACCGCAUAACAAUGGAUGACACAUGUCAUUUAUUUGAAAGGGGCAAUUGCUCCACUACAAGAUGGACCUGCGUUGUAUUAGCUAGUAGGUGAGGUAAUGGCUCACCUAGGCGACGAUACAUAGCCGACCUGAGAGGGUGAUCGGCCACACUGGGACUGAGACACGGCCCAGACUCCUACGGGAGGCAGCAGUAGGGAAGCUUCGGCAAUGGGGGCAACCCUGACCGAGCAACGCCGCGUGAGUGAAGAAGGGUUUCGGAUCGUAAAGCUCUGUUGUAAGUCAAGAACGGGUGUGAGAGUGGAAAGUUCACACUGUGACGGUAGCUUACCAGAAAGGGACGGCUAACUACGUG
Molecule: ribosomal RNA, 497 nt
Filed under: uncultured bacterium
Lineage: Bacteria
Description: partial 16S ribosomal RNA
Rfam family: Bacterial small subunit ribosomal RNA
Source: RNAcentral